RNAcentral lists this long non-coding RNA (1751 nucleotides) under Macaca fascicularis (crab-eating macaque). RNAcentral describes it as "lncRNA (ENSMFAG00000048145.1)". The stretch from base 404 to 483 matches the Rfam family "mir-31 microRNA precursor family". The record is from RNAcentral. Lineage: Eukaryota; Metazoa; Chordata; Mammalia; Primates; Cercopithecidae.
GAAGGUGCGGGAACGUCCACUCCCGCGCGCCUCUUUUGGGGGCCAGGGCUCGGGGACUGGAGCGGCCUUCCAGGAGGAGCUUCGUGAGCAACUGCGACCUGCGCAUAACUUGGAGCGCAGCCAGGGACGCGCAGGUUCCACGUCCGGCGCCUGGGGAGAAAAGACGCGCGUCCCCGGCCGCGGCGCCGGAGCCGGCUGGGGACCGCCUGGUCCCGGGCCAGACCUGGGAGGCGGUGUUCCGAGAGCCGCCUGGUCUGGGGUGCGGGGAGCGGGAAGCGGCCCUGCGUGUGCGCUUGGGCGAGGCCGGGCGGCGCUUCUGCCCUCCUACUCGGACCCUCAGGUGAAAGGAAAAAUUUUGGAAAAGUAAAACACUGAAGAGGCAUAGUAUUCUCCUGUAACUUGGAACUGGAGAGGAGGCAAGAUGCUGGCAUAGCUGUUGAACUGGGAACCUGCUAUGCCAACAUAUUGCCAUCUUUCCUGUCUGACAGCAGCCAUGGCCACCUUCAUGCCAGUCCUUCGUGUAUUGCUGUGUAUGUGCGCCCUUCCUUGGAGGUGGAUUUCCAUGACAUGGCCUUUCUCACCUCCCUGACUUCCGGUCCUGCUCUGCAGUGUGUCCUACCAUGAAUUCACUCCAUGCUAGCCACAUUGGCCUGUAUGUGUAUUCCUUGGACACACCUAGGAUGUUCUUGCCUAUUAGCUUGCCUACCUUUCUCUCAUCAUUUGAUGAGCGAGGACGUCAUCUCCUCAGAGAAGCCUUCCGUAACCAUGCUAUCUAAAAUACUCCAGCACUCCAGUCACCCUUUAUACCAUUACUCUAUUUUUUCAGAAACAUUGGUGCUUCCUGAAACAUAUUUGUUUACUUGCUUAGUGACUUUUCUUCCGCACAACCAUGUAAGCUUCUUGAGCGUUAGGGACCUUGUUAGGGAUAACCACUGUAUUCUUGGAGUGUGACACAUAGUAGGUUCUCAAUACAUAUUUUUGAAACUACCCUGAUGCAAAAGAUAUCAAAUAAUUAUAGCUUUUGCAUUACAAAUGUCUUUGGUGAAAUCCCUGGCUCAAAACUAAUAAUAAAGAAAUAAACAGAUGAUGUUGAGUUCUGGGCCUGCAAACCUAACUCUUUAAAGCAGUCAUAGUAAAUGUGUCAUUGGGUCCACAGACUCAUGGAAGUCAGCCUAUUUUAUUGGGAAAAGCGUGAGCUUCAAAAUAAAACUGAUGGUCAAAUCUCAUUACUGGUGUGUUCUUAAGUCAUUUAACCUCCGAGUGCCACAGUUUACACAAAUGGAAAAUGAGAAUAAUAAUACUGACUCCAUAGGACCCUCGAAAUAAGGAAAUAAGGUAUUUUUGUCAGGUGAUUUCUUAUCACAUGUCUAAAAAUUUAGUGUCUCUAAAAUUCUUGAUAUAUGCAUACUAGUAGACACUCAACAAAUUUAAUUGUUUCACUACUAAGAAAAAAGUUUUCUUUAGUUAGAGACAAGAGAUUGUAUGUGAAAUGUGUGGAAAUUCUAUGCCAGAACUAUAGUACAUGUAGAAUUCUUUGUAAAGACAGAAAUCUUGAGAGACCGAGGAGUUAAUUGUCAAGGAUUUCAAAUUCUUCUCCUGGUUAGUUCACAUUCCUCAUCUUCCUUUGUUUCUGGAGUUACUCAUUGUUUGUAGAUUUCUUUUAAAAGUGGUUUCUACACAUUCACUUUAAAGAGUAAGAAUGUUCAAUAAAUACAAUUGUAUUUUAAUGUUUAAUAAAUACUAAUGUUUAG